AUUGAACGCUGGCGGCAUGCUUUACACAUGCAAGUCGAACGGUAACAGGUUAAGCUGACGAGUGGCGAACGGGUGAGUAAUGCAUCGGAACGUGCCCGGUCGUGGGGGAUAACGCAGCGAAAGCCGCGCUAAUACCGCAUACGAUCUGAGGAUGAAAGCGGGGGACCGUAAGGCCUCGCGCGAUCGAAGCGGCCGAUGUCAGAUUAGGUAGUUGGGGGGGUAAAGGCUCACCAAGCCGACGAUCUGUAGCUGGUCUGAGAGGACGACCAGCCACACUGGGACGGAGACACGGCCCAGACUCCUACGGGAGGCAGCAGUGGGGAAUUUUGGACAAUGGGCGCAAGCCUGAUCCAGCAAUGCCGCGUGCAGGAAGAAGGCCUUCGGGUUGUAAACUGCUUUUGUACGGAGCGAAAAGGCUCUCUCUAAUACAGGGGGUUCAUGACGGCACCGUAAGAAUAAGCACCGGCUAACUACGUGCCAGCCGCCGCGGUAA
RNAcentral lists this ribosomal RNA (493 nucleotides) under uncultured bacterium. RNAcentral's name for it is "partial 16S ribosomal RNA". It matches the Rfam family "Bacterial small subunit ribosomal RNA", at positions 29 to 523 of the family's 1533-position model. The record is from RNAcentral.